CAACUCGAGCGGUAGAGAGAAGCUUGCUUCUCUUGAGAGCGGCGGACGGGUGAGUAAUGCCUAGGAAUCUGCCUAGUGGUGGGGGAUAACGUUCGGAAACGGACGCUAAUACCGCAUACGUCCUACGGGAGAAAGCGGGGGACCUUCGGGCCUCGCGCCAUUAGAUGAGCCUAGGUCGGAUUAGCUAGUUGGUGAGGUAAUGGCUCACCAAGGCUACGAUCCGUAACUGGUCUGAGAGGAUGAUCAGUCACACUGGAACUGAGACACGGUCCAGACUCCUACGGGAGGCAGCAGUGGGGAAUAUUGGACAAUGGGCGAAAGCCUGAUCCAGCCAUGCCGCGUGUGUGAAGAAGGUCUUCGGAUUGUAAAGCACUUUAAGUUGGGAGGAAGGGUAGUAACUUAAUACGUUGCUACUUUGACGUUACCGACAGAAUAAGCACCGGCUAACUUCGUGCCAGCAGCCGCGGUAAUA
This 472-nucleotide ribosomal RNA is filed under the name Pseudomonadales bacterium HD-OI-02-11. Its description in RNAcentral is "bacterial SSU rRNA". It matches the Rfam family "Bacterial small subunit ribosomal RNA", at positions 58 to 525 of the family's 1533-position model. Lineage: Bacteria; Pseudomonadati; Pseudomonadota; Gammaproteobacteria; Pseudomonadales. The record is from RNAcentral.